Molecule: unclassified non-coding RNA, 292 nt
Filed under: Hevea brasiliensis (rubber tree)
Lineage: Eukaryota; Viridiplantae; Streptophyta; Magnoliopsida; Malpighiales; Euphorbiaceae
Source: RNAcentral
GUAUCUCCAUUGCUCUUCCCAAGUCCAUCUGAUGAUGAAACACCUGGAGAUGCUGUUGCAACAGUGACCCCACUGGCUCCUAAACCUACCAUAUUCAUUCCUCCACCCAUUAGAGAAGCGCCUUGAAUGAAAUUAGAGUUGAGUGCUGGAUCAGGGAUACCAACCAUCCCUGCCCUCAUUCCCGGACUGCCCAACUGACCACUAUUUGGGAUAGCCAUAGGAGCACCAUAGGGCAAAGCAGGCUGCUUUGGGAAAAUUGGUUGCUGCUGUGGCUGUGAUUGUUGGUUCUGUU